GGCCUAACACAUGCAAGUCGAACGGCAGCGGGGAGAAGCUUGCUUCUCCGCCGGCGAGUGGCGCACGGGUGCGUAACGCGUAUGCAACCUACCUUCAACAGGGGGAUAGCCCAGGGAAACUUGGAUUAAUGCCCCAUGGAAACCGGACCCCGCCUGGGAUCCGGUUUAAAGUUCCGGCGGUUGGAGAUGGGCAUGCGUCCCAUUAGCUAGUAGGUGUGGUAACGGCACACCUAGGCAACGAUGGGUAGGGGCCCUGAGAGGGGGAUCCCCCACACUGGUACUGAGACACGGACCAGACUCCUACGGGAGGCAGCAGUGAGGAAUAUUGGACAAUGGGCGGAAGCCUGAUCCAGCCAUGCCGCGUGCAGGAAGACUGCCCUAUGGGUUGUAAACUGCUUUUAUACGGGAAGAAACACCCCCUCGUGAGGGGGCUUGACGGUACCGUAGGAAUAAGGAUCGGCUAACUCCGUGCCAGCAGCCGCGGUAAUACGGAGGAUCCAAGCGUUAUCCGGAAUCAUUGGGUUUAAAGGGUCCGUAGGUGGAUUAUUAAGUCAGGGGUGAAAGUCUGCGGCUCAACCGUAGAAUUGCCCUUGAUACUGGUAAUCUUGAGUCAUUGUGAAGUGGUUGGAAUAUGUGGUGUAGCGGUGAAAUGCAUAGAUAUCACAUAGAACACCGAUUGCGAAGGCAGAUCACUAACAAUGCACUGACACUGAUGGACGAAAGCGUGGGGAGCGAACAGGAUUAGAUACCCUGGUAGUCCACGCCGUAAACGAUGGUCACUAGCUGUCCGGCCCGAUCGAGGGCUGGGUGGCCAAGCGAAAGUGAUAAGUGACC
Molecule: ribosomal RNA, 834 nt
Filed under: Flavobacteriaceae bacterium ACEMC 18-1
Lineage: Bacteria; Pseudomonadati; Bacteroidota; Flavobacteriia; Flavobacteriales; Flavobacteriaceae
Description: bacterial SSU rRNA
Rfam family: Bacterial small subunit ribosomal RNA
Source: RNAcentral